RNAcentral lists this long non-coding RNA (1413 nucleotides) under Salmo salar (Atlantic salmon). RNAcentral describes it as "lncRNA (ENSSSAG00000099425.1)". The record is from RNAcentral. Lineage: Eukaryota; Metazoa; Chordata; Actinopteri; Salmoniformes; Salmonidae.
GCAGAGUUUGUGAGUGGUCAGCCUGGGGACAGUGAGACUGAGAUGCGCGUUCACGAGACUACUCCAUUUUUUUCUUUCAGCCUUUGAAUGAAUACAACGUUGCCCGGUUGGAAUAUUAUCGCUAUUUUAUGAGAAAAAUAGCAUAAAAAUUGAUUUUAAACAGCGUUUGACAUGCUUCUAAGUACGGAAUAUUUUGAAUUUUCUUGUCACGAAAUGCGCUCGUGCGUCACCCUUUCGGAUAGUGACCUGAACGCACAAACAAAACGGAGCUAUUUGAAUAUAACUAUGGAUUAUUUGGAACCAAAACAACAUUUGUUGUUGAAGUAGAAGUCCUGGGAAUCCAUUCUGAUGAAGAACAGCAAAGGAAUCCUCCUGUAGAGCAGUGAUGUCUCAGGUUAGAGAUGUACCAAGUUAAGUCUCCAGCAGGACAAGUUGACUGUGGAAACCUCUGCAGCUGACACCAGCUCUUCCCAGAAGGAUUAUAAGCAAAAAGGUCUUCCCACAUUACAUAAAGGCAGAAUGGGAAACACAACGGUUCCCAGUUUAGUCAUGAACCCUUUUGCAGAAACAGAGAACGUAUGACAAUAAACAGACCUGGUGUUAUUGUAUCAGUGAGUCGUAAAGAUAUUCUCAGGUACUUUUGUAAAAAAUACAUUUCCAGUAUUUCUGCAAGUAGUGCUCAAAAGCCAAAGGUGGUCCCGACAAUUGCUUCCUACAGCACAUAUGUGCAGAUAUGAGCACCAUGUAAUUGCGCUCUCUCUCUCUGCUGUGUCCACUGAGCUGUUUGACCUGCCCUGCAACCUCAUUGGAUAACGUUGGGCAGGCCUCUUACUAGAGCUGAAGCUCAUUGGCUAGAACUCGAAUUGCCCACGUGGGGGGAAAUGUAGGGAAAAUGGCACAGCACAGCUUCAAGAAAACAGUCGCUUUAAAACUGGGGAUUUCGUGGCUAAUUGAAGGAACUUGAUUGAGGAUGUAUUCACUUCUGCAACAUCGGGCUUAGGAAGAGUUGCAAGAAAGAGGAACACUGUGACGGAUCUACCGGGGCUGAGAGCGUAUUUAUCCCCAGAUGAGAUGAGUUCACGGCAAAAAGCAUUCCCAAGACGUCAUUGCAACGUCACCUCCGCCCAACCACCAUCAUUCCUCUGCAGACCCCUAGCAAAUAAACACAUGGACAUUCCUCAUUUUGGACUGAGCUCCCUGAGAGGAGUGCCACAGGGGUUUCAUCGAACGUCAGCUAGCCCACUACAUUCCUCUGGGGGAUUUAGAGGUGUUGGCGGCAUGAAGAUGGAUGAACGUCAGAGGUUUUCCACCCCAGAUUGCUAAACGCAGACUGUUAACAUCAAUCUCAGUUAAUCUGAUCUGAAACACUCAAAUAGUCUACACCCAGGUAGAGACUACAGAUAGAAGCUCUCU